Molecule: long non-coding RNA, 747 nt
Organism: Aphidius gifuensis
Lineage: Eukaryota; Metazoa; Arthropoda; Insecta; Hymenoptera; Braconidae
Exons: 3
Source: RefSeq, a predicted model, not a curated record
UAUAAAAAAACGUAUAUAAAAUCAACAAUAACAGGCAUUGAUUAUUAUUUGUUGUUGUACUUGUGUCCAAUAAACUUCAGAAUCAAUGACACUUGGUAAAUUAACAUUAUAAAAACUAGAUAGCUGUGGUAAAACGUAAGUUGAAUUUAGCAAAGCUACGUAAAUCAGUUAGUUAUUUCUAUCUCUAAUAAAAUGUUUAUGACAUAUAAAAAAAAUUUAACAAGCGCCAUCAAUGACAAAAAGAAGCCCUAAAUUGUAUAAAAUUUGCCCUGUGAAUACGGGUGCGGGUGCUGGUUUCACUCUCUAUUUUGCUGUAUUUCAUAUUUUCAUUUGCUUUCAUUCUGCUGACUUGUGCUGACUGCUGCUGACCACUGCUGACUGCUGUCAUUCUGAUUAAUAACUCUGACCUGCUCUGACAAACUCUGACUGUUAUACUUAUAUAACUAUACAAACUUAUAACAAAUCUAAGUACAAUUCUGACUGGUAAUAAAGAUGAAUACUCGUCUCGCUAGUCUCCAAAAGUUCCAAAUGCCCUUGUUGAUAAUCUGUGGGAUCUGUGGGACUUGUGGGGCGUACAAACUAAUAGAACGGCACUUGGAAAACCGAGGAAAGAGGGGAGAAGCCAAAUGGAACGAAAGACUCGGAAGACCCGUAAAAAAAGAGUGAUUAUAUUGAAAAAAAAAUAUUCUUAUCAUUAAAAAAUUAUGUAAUUUAAUUCAAUAAAAAUAUAAAAACAAUAUUAAUUAA